This is a long non-coding RNA of Lacerta agilis (Sand lizard), 276 nucleotides long. RefSeq lists it as uncharacterized. The transcript has 3 exons. NCBI's taxonomy places the organism in Eukaryota, Metazoa, Chordata, Lepidosauria, Squamata, Lacertidae. The record is from RefSeq and is a predicted model, not a curated record.
CUGCUGUAUGGAACAAGAACAAGUAGCACCGUUUCUUCUUUGCAGAUAUUUGAAAGAAGAUGGACCAUCAACAGACAAAUCCUGGGGGCCAAAGUGUUUAGAGACCAGGAGCAGUUGACGCGGCUCAACAAUAUCAUGUGGCCAGUGAUGGCUCGAAUAGCAAAAGAAAGAUAGACGAGGCAGCUGCACAGGGAAACGUCGUGUGUGUGCUGGAUGCAGCCUUGUUGUUGGAGGCAGGCUGGGCAGACUUGGUGCACGAGGUCUGGACGGUUAUCA